RNAcentral lists this ribosomal RNA (302 nucleotides) under uncultured bacterium. RNAcentral's name for it is "partial 16S ribosomal RNA". It matches the Rfam family "Bacterial small subunit ribosomal RNA", at positions 508 to 809 of the family's 1533-position model. The record is from RNAcentral.
GCAGCCGCCGCGGUAAAACGGAGGGAGCUAACGUUGUUCGGAAUUACUGGGCGUAAAGCGCACGUAGGCGGUUAUUCAAGUCAGAGGUGAAAGCCCGGGGCUCAACCCCGGAACUGCCUUUGAAACUAGAUGACUGGAAUCUUGGAGAGGUCAGUGGAAUUCCGAGUGUAGAGGUGAAAUUCGUAGAUAUUCGGAAGAACACCAGUGGCGAAGGCGACUGACUGGACAAGUAUUGACGCUGAGGUGCGAAAGCGUGGGGAGCAAACAGGAUUAGAUACCCGAGUAGUCCCUGUCUCUUAUAA